AUUGAACGCUGGCGGCAGGCCUAACACAUGCAAGUCGAACGAGUGGCGGACGGGUGAGUAAUGUCUGGGCAACUGCCUGAUGGAGGGGGAUAACUACUGGCAACGGUAGCUAAUAACGCAUACCAUCGGAUGUGCCCAGAUGGGAUUAGCUAGUAGGUGGGGUAAAGGCUCACCUAGGCUAGGCUCCCUAGCUGGUCUGAGCGGAUGACCAGCCACACGGGAACUGAGACACGGUCCAGAAUCCGACGGGAGGCAGCAGUGGGGAAUAUUGCACAAUGGGCGCAAGCCUGAUGCAGCCAUGCCGCGUGUAUGAAGAAGGCCUUCGGGUUGUAAAGGACUUUCAGCGGGGAGGCGUUACCCGCAGAAGAAUCACCGGCUAACUCCGUGCCAGCAGCCGCGGUAAUAC
Molecule: ribosomal RNA, 406 nt
Filed under: uncultured bacterium
Lineage: Bacteria
Description: partial 16S ribosomal RNA
Rfam family: Bacterial small subunit ribosomal RNA
Source: RNAcentral